GGGUCAGUAGGUUGGUCGUGCCACCGGUACGUACUGGUCUCACUGAUCCCUCCUUCCUGAAGAACCGUAAUGCCAUUAAUUUGGUGUUGCGGGGAAACAGGACUGUUACUUUGAAAAAAUUAGAGUGUUUAAAGCAAGCUAACGCUUGAAUACAUUAGCAUGGAAUAAUGAAAUAGGACGAUCGAUCCUAUUUUGUUGGCUUCUAGGAUUGACGUA
This 216-nucleotide ribosomal RNA is filed under the name Glomeromycotina sp. Its description in RNAcentral is "partial small subunit ribosomal RNA". The stretch from base 75 to 216 matches the Rfam family "Eukaryotic small subunit ribosomal RNA", at positions 721 to 864 of the family's 1831-position model. The record is from RNAcentral. Lineage: Eukaryota; Fungi; Glomeromycota.